CCGAAGUCCCCGAUCCCGCUCCGCGCCUACCUUUCGUCCAAUCCAACUCUCUUCCUCGCACCCUCACCUCGCACGCCCGCCGCCGCAUCUCCCUUCUUCGCGCCAGCCUCGCGGCCCCCACGCGACCGAGGCCGCGCCCCGGCCGCCGCAUCUCGCUCCACGCGCCUGCGCCGCCUCCAGCCUCGCGGCCCCCUAGCGCCCCGGCCACCGCAUCGCGCCCCCUCGCGCCCACACUGGAGCGCACCCCGUCGCUGCAGCCACGCCGGAUGACAGGUCAGAUUGUGCAGAAGUUUCCUGAGCAUAAUGAUUUAUGUCCAAACGGGAUAUACAUCACAAUCGGAAUCUUCAGGGAAGUGUCAACUUGUUUUCUAAAAGACACUAUUGGUUAUAACCAUUUCCUCUUGCAAGUGCAUCUUAAUUAGCUUUACUGAUGGGUCAUUGUACAUAAUCAUAUACCAUAUGUUGUUACUAAUGGCUAGAGAUUUAGUGUGCUGACUUCAGGGGGGUGUCGAGGUCUUAUGAAAAUUACAUGUGUUUAGAGUUACAGGGUACCAUUGCCAGGUGUCAAGAACCAGAAAUUGACAAGUCUGUUUCAAUGCUUGUUGGAAUUUUAGUUGGUUUCCCUUUGGUGUCCUGGCCUGGCAUCUGUUCUUAACUUUCCCUACAGAUUUUUCACUGAUUAUUAUAGAGUGCUAAUUAUGGUGCUAAAUAUUCUCUUGGGUAGUGUGUGUGCUUGUGAUUAUAAACUGUUGAUUGUCGCAUUACUCAGAACUAGCAGUUACAGCAAGAGCAACAGUCCAAGGUAUAUUAAUUUUUCUUUCUGAUUUAAAUUAAUGAUAGCACCAAAGUAUCAAAUGACUCUUAAUUUGAUUCCUGUACUAAGUUUGAUUGUUUCGUAUACAUGCCCAUGCGCCUAGCUUCUUCUGCGAGGCUGGUGCAGCAACAUAAUUCCUGUCUUCCACUUUGCCGCCUGCCCAAGGUGACAACACAUCCAAUAUUUUUCAGGUCCUGAUAUGUAUGUGAAGCAUCUUUAUUUUUUAUCGAAUCGUUGAUGUAUGUUUUCAGAGCAUAAUUUUCCACUGAAUGGAUUAUCAUUUGCUGAGACUAAUGAUUUAAACUUGCAUAAACAAGUAAAGAACUUUUAACCAUUACUAGAUGCUGACACUAUACAGGUCAUGUUGUUUAGUAAAACUAUCGUAACAGAUGCAGGUGGAGGGUCUUUAAGUAAGUAACCACCUAAUACCAUUUUUAUUGAGAUCCAUCUUUCGUCUAAGAAGUUCUGAAGAUGGUCAAAAGCAUGGUUAAAUAAAAUCAUCUGCUUCUGUUGACGUUUCCCUGUACUAUGCCCAAAGUUUGUACUGAGUGUUGCAUAUGUUUCUUUAAACGUUUAGUUCUAUGUCGUGCCAUAUCAUGCUUAUCAUUAGAGCACAACCUGAAUGUUUCAGUUGAACUAUAUAUCAACUUGUCUAAAGAAUGCUUACAUAAGGUAUAUCUCGAUAAUUAUACAGUUUUUUUCUUUCCAAACGACCUUGCGAUCGGAUUAGAUAAUUAUAUAGUAGGCGCUAAUUUCUGUUAUUUUGAUUUGAAUCAUUUCAGGGUGAUUUAGAGAAGCUCACCAACCAAAAUGUGCCUCAUUUCUCUUUUUUAAAGGUGUAUUUGUCUUUCUGUUUAAUGCAAAUAGCUACAUGAAGAAUGGAAUAUGAAUCUAAGUGAAAAUUGCAGUUGCUGAAGGGAACAUGAGCAUGCUAGGAGUUGACCUUUAAUUUUUGUUGCUAAGGUGCUUUGUUUCAGAUUGUAUUCUCACUCAAGUAUUAUUAUUAGGCAAACUAGCUCUAUUUCUUAUGGAUACUUAAUUCCUUACUUUGGUCACAAAAGUACUUAAUUCCUUAUUUAUUAAAUUCCAAGUUAGGGAGCC
This is a long non-coding RNA of Brachypodium distachyon (stiff brome), 1915 nucleotides long. RefSeq lists it as uncharacterized. The record is from RefSeq and is a predicted model, not a curated record. NCBI's taxonomy places the organism in Eukaryota, Viridiplantae, Streptophyta, Magnoliopsida, Poales, Poaceae. The transcript has 2 exons.